CGCGGCCCUGAGCGGCAGAGACAGCAAUAGGCAGAAAUGAGUAAGAGCCGGAGCUGAAGUAGUGCACGGCGUAAUUCCUGCUCUGUGAUCAGACACUCCAAGUGAAAAAACCGGGAGAGGGGGCAGAGAGAGGCAGUGACCAGCUCAACCUUUGCAACCGGCUCAGGACAGAACGUCUAUAGAUAUUUAUAGAUACUAAAACAAAAACAACAACCUCACCCUGAAUAGAGCCUUUCUUAAAAAGAAGGUCCUGGCAAUUCUGUCUUAUUUAAGCAAUUUCCUGAGUCUAAGAAUAGAAAUGAGCUGCCUGGAAGGCACUGCAGGCUGAAAUUUGGAGACAUGGGCUGCUUUAUUUUAUUUUUCUAAAUAUAAAAACCUUUCGUUUGGAUACUGGAUUUUUAUGUGGGUCUUUGCAGCGGAGGGAUGUAUGGUUACUUUUAAUUCUACUUUUUUUUUCUCUCUCUUUUAAUUAAAAAAAAAAAUAAUCAUCCAGUUAAAAGCAAGGAAGCUGUUUUACCUGCCUUUGACAAUCCCAGAGGACACCGAUCAAGAAACGGGAGUGACUUGGUCUUCUGCACUACUUUACUCCUACCCCCAUUUUUUUUAGGGGGAGAGAAGGAUUUUUUCCAGUCCAAGAACCUCUUGCCCCCAAGUUUUGGAAGGGGGUUGAAGACUUGUCACCCGUCUGGGGGUGCAUGAAGGGCAUUGCUUUUCUUUCCCUGCCACCUUGGUUUUGUGGAGGUUUGGAAGAGAACUUUGCCUGGGAGAAGAGGAUGAUGUGGAAGUGGCUGGGUGCCCUGCUGCUGUUCCCGGUGCAGAUGGUGUACCUGGUGGUGAAAGCUGCCGUGUGCCUGGUGCUGCCGCCCAAGCUGCGAGACCUGUCCCGGGAGAACGUGCUGGUCACCGGCGGGGGCCGAGGCAUCGGCCGCCACCUGGCCCGGGAAUUCGCCAGGAGAGGAGCCAGGAAGAUCAUCCUGUGGGGUCGGACUGAGAAAUGCCUGAAGGAGACCACGGAGGAGAUCAGGAUGAUGGGGACAGAGUGCCACUACUUCAUCUGUGACGUGGGAAACCGCGAGGAAGUCUAUCGGCAAGCCAAGGCCGUGCGGGAAAAGGUGGGUGACAUCACCAUCCUGGUGAACAAUGCUGCUGUGGUCCAUGGGAAGAGCCUGAUGGACAGCGAUGAUGAUGCACUGCUCAAAUCCCAGCACAUAAACACCCUGGGACAGUUCUGGACCACCAAAGCAUUCCUGCCAAGGAUGCUGGAGCUGCAGAAUGGGCACAUUGUUUGCCUGAACUCUGUCCUGGCCUUGUCAGCCAUCCCUGGUGCCAUUGACUAUUGCACCUCCAAAGCCUCAUCCUUUGCUUUCAUGGAGAGCCUGACCCUGGGGCUGCUGGACUGUCCUGGAGUGAAUGCCACCACAGUCCUGCCCUUCCACACCAGCACAGAGAUGUUCCAGGGCAUGAGAAUCAGGUUCCCUAGUCUUUUUCCUCCUCUCAAGCCAGAGACAGUGGCAAGGAGGACAGUAGAAGCUGUUCAGAUGAAUCAAGCCUUCCUUCUCCUUCCAUGGACAAUGCAUGUUCUUGUUAUCCUAAAAAGCAUUCUCCCCCAGGCAGCACUUGAAGAAAUCCACAAGUUUUCUGGGAGCUACACCUGCAUGAACACUUUUAAAGGACGAACAUAGACCUGAUGGCACAAGGACUGUUCUGCAGUGAACCCAGCACAAGCAUGAAAAUCCUACAGGACUGUGAAUCAGCAAGUCUUGGCUUUCAGCCUGUUCAUGUGACUUGUGCUGCUCUGAGGCAACACAUUUCUUGCAGGUCAUAUCCAUAGUAACAUGACCUUUGCACAGGAUUGAGUGAGUGGACUAUGGACCCUUGGAAAGAAAAACAGAAAGUGUGAAAUGUUUCUAUGAUGUUUAAUUCUUUAGAGUUCAACUGUUAAAUCUACUCAUAGUUCUAAGAUGUGAUUUUUGUUUCUUAAGUCUCUGUGGGCUGUCUCAGUGGAGAGACAGCACAUCCCAUCCCAAACACACUUUGUGCCCUCUCUCCAGAGGAACUGCCACUGGUUUCAUUUCAGCUUUUUGAAUGAGGAACUUCAAAAUUACUUUAAAGAACUAAAAGAUAUGGACAUUUAAUGGAUGCUUCCUUCUCUUUCUUCACUUUCCAUCCCAUGAUGAAGCUGUUCCCAGCACACACUGGGGAAGGAGCAAACCAUGAAGCAAUGUUUUCUUUGCUAAAGGCCACCCAGGACUUCUCUUUCUGGGCCCAAAAAAGCUGCUCUACUUCCCUUGUGGAGGCUGGACAGGAAGGCUCAGGCAGCAGAGCUGAGAGUUUAAAUAGUGGAAGAUUCUUUCUGUCACUGGACUCAUGUGUGAAAUAGUCAUUCUGAUUUUUUUGUGUUCAUUUGUGAUAAAAUAUAAAUAGAUUUUUAGCUUUAAUCCCAGAUUGCCACACAUGUAGGCAGCAGCACAUUGGGGAUGAACUAAAUCUAGAACUAAAACUAGAGCCUGCUUGUACAAACAUACAUUCACUGACAUAAUCCAUGCAGAGGAAAAUCCAUUGUAUCAAUCUGCACAGUGAAGUGGAAUAACUCUCUAAAGGACAGUACUGUUGUGCUCAUGAGAUGUGAAAUCUGGGAGCACAUUUAGCAAAGACCUGAUGAAAUGCAUUUUGAAUUCAUCUGGCAAUAAACCCAUUGUGCUUUAGGGACAUUGAAUCAGGCACUGAUCAGCCAGAAGUGGUAAAUACACUUGGACUGAGGUGCCAGAAGCAGCUAGACAUUAUUUAUUUUUGUAAUGAUAUAUUCUCUUUGACAGCCUAGGAAGGGCAACACUGCAUUUCUGUGCAAAAUGCAGUGAGCAGCACAUUGGAGCACUACUUACAGAGGAAUUAAUAUAAAUGCAAUAGAGGAAGUAGCAAGUCUAACUGGAGACACCUGAAUGAAGUGCCUCAAGGAUGGAUGUGUGAUUAAAGGAGCGAAUUUAGGGCUCCUGACUUGAAUUUCAAGCUUUUCCAUAGAUGUCCUGUGUGGCUUGGAGCAAAAUGCAUCAUCUGAAAGAGCACCCUGACCUGCAAAGCAGAUUUUUUUAGUGUUUCCCUACCUCAGAAUUACAAGUCUGACUACCUAAAUGUCUGUCCAAAGCUCAGCAAAUUCAAAUGCAACGUGUUACAGAAAGGAAAAGCAGUAUUUGUUCAUAGACCAAGAGUUUCUAUACAAAAAAUCAGAUGAGGAAAAAAACCCAUAUGCCAAAAUAUAUCAUCUCCUAAAAGACAUCUGAGGUACAGCAGAAAAGCUGUGAGCUGUGUUUAAGUACUCCUUUGGUCCUGCCAUGUAGAAUGGAGACCUGCUGUGAGGUACAAAGGUGUGAAUGUUAAAAUCAGGUCUGACCUUACUGCAGACCACUGGAUUUCUCCCUUCUGGAGCUCUCCAAGAGGAAGAUGCUGCCAGAAGUGCCACUGUUGAAGUCCCUCUGCCUGGUUUUCCUUGGAAUUCCUGGAUGUCUGAGGCUCUCUGGAGAGGAUGGAAAAAACCUUCAAUCUCUGUGAUUUUGAGGCCCACUCUAAUAGAUGCUUCCAGCUUUAUUUUUUUGUCACUUUUUUCGAGAAGCCCAUCUGACUGAAAAGUCAAGUGCCACAUGGGCAGAGCCCUUCCAGGAAUAUUCAGUGCCUGGAAUCCUGAAGGUAAUAGGUUUAUCAGGAGAGGUUUGGGAGAGGAAGGUAUGGUGAUUCCCAGUUCCCCUUGUGCCCUCUGAUCCAUUCCAGUUCUCAUUAAUCCCAGCUGCAGGAGUAAAAACAACCAUGGUGAAAGAGCAGUGUCCCCUUGCAAUUAAACCUUUGUGCUGAGAUUCUGUUUAUUGGUAACUUCCUAAUGCAAAAGUGAGGUAAAAACACUGGAAUCCCUGUUCACCUCCAAAUCCUGUCCCUUAAAUAGAUCUGCUCUUUCCCUGCACCACUCAGAAGAUGUUCCCUUAUCUCCAGAGUUGCCUUACACACGAAGUGCUGUUGAUUUCUUUCUGAUGAAUAUAAACAAGUCAGAACAUAGCUGAGACUCAUCAUCUCUCUCCUCUCGAACACGCACAGAGCUCCCUCUCUCUUCCCCCAGGGUCCUGCAGCGGACAGAGGGUCAAAUAGCAGUCACAGUGGGGGAGAGGGUUGCAGCAAACAGAAAAUAACGAGGAAAACAUUGACUUUGCUGUUCAGAUAGCCAGGGAGAGUUGGGUAAGAGAGUUCCUUCUCUGGUGAGUGCUGUGAGACAGGACGGUCUCCAUCCAGCAAGCGACUGCAAACGUGGAUGGAGACACUGAAGACUUUUUUUUUAAUAGAAAGGCUCCUCUGGAAUGCCUGCUGAGGUCUGCUGGGACCUUCCCACAUAAGGGGAGUGUUGGGUAAUCUUGAAGCACUGCAAAUGUGGACAAGCUUUGUUGAAGCCUAAGGCCUUCUCCGAGGAAUUUCCGCCCUUUGACUUACUUUAAUUUUGAUUUUCCCCGCUCUCUCUCCUGCCUCCUGCUCUCCACUGCACAGUUUUUUUUCCCUUCUGUUUUCCUAUGUCAUCACUGCAGUUUUCUGUGCCACCAUCUUGAAGCCAGAUGUCACAGGAGAGCCUGGAGUAAAUCGAGAUCGGGGUGUCCAUUUCUGUAUGCUGGAGGAAUCCAGGUGAAGCUGCAGGAACAGAUCACAGCAGUUUCAUGGGAAAUUAGUUUUACUUGCUCCAAACUCUGAAGAAGUAAAAAGAGUCCUCACUGUUGCUCUUAUACAGGAGAUUGCUGCUGGUUUAAAAUUUGAAUGAUAGAGAAAUAUGGGCUGAUUUGGGACAUGCUCCUCUGACAAAAAAAGGCCAAAUUUAAAUGGGAGGAUUUUUCUGUUCAAGGUGGCUUCAAGGGCCGCUGUUUUUACAAAGUGAUUUUCAGAAUUAGCAAGGCAGGGCAGGAAGAGGAAGAAUCCCUCAUGUCUGAUACUUCAUUUUGUGGUUUUUGAUGAGGAAAAAAAGCACCCUCAUGGUGAAGAUGAAAAAGGUUCCAACCAUGUCCCUGCCAAUGGUGUGAUUGAAGCAGCAUGACAAAAAAGAGCAGGCCCUGAAAGUGGGAGCUGUACCCUCCCCACUCACCCAUUGUUCUGUUGAGGUUAAAAAGCAAUAGAGUCUGUCCCUCAAGUUCUUCUAGAACUGCACAGAAAGUGCCUGGGUAAGUGAUUCUGAUGUUUGCAAAGAGAAACUUGUUGUACUUUUAUGUAAUGUGUUAAUUAGUGUGGGUGGGUAUGAUCAGAUCUUGUCUUGCAAGCCUUUCCGACAACUCCCUGAACACUCCCACCUUCAGAUAUUAACAGAUAGCACUUGCCAAAGCUCCUAAAAACCCAGUAACAGACUUAAUGCAGGCAGAGCAUAAGUGGGUGCGUGUAUUUCAAAGAGAACACAUCUGCUUGUAGCAGACAUUAAUGUGGCCUAGUGCCUUCCUCGAGCUGAAGUGCAACUGUUGAGAAAAGAAUACAGGCUGAUCCUUGGAUCAUCUCUUUUGUUUCUUCACGUGGCUUUAAUAAAUUUAAUUUAGGUGACAGCCACUUUGACAGCACUGGCUCCAAGGUUGGGGUAAAGCAAGAUGAUGUCAAAUGCAGUAUUUUGCAUUUUUACCAAGCAGCAGCCCUGAGAAUGAAAAUAUUCGGCACUGUUUGCAGCUCUCACCUCCCCGGCACUAAGAUCCUGGUAUGUUUGGAGUCUGAGCAAACCUGUCAGUCACCAGCAGCAGUUGCAUUCUCUAGGGAACAGAAUCCUCUUUGACCUAAUGCUUUUCUGAAGGAGAUGUUGAGUAGUGGCAGCCACAGAUUCAGGGACUUAGAGAAAGACGAGAGGAAAAACAGAACUUCAGCUGCUCCCUGCAGCUCACUCUCUCCCAUCCCGUGUUUCCUGUGGGAAGAUGGUGAUUCAGAUAUUUCUUGCCCCCUUUACCACCCCUGUUCUACUGAGGUCACCUCAGCACCUUCCUUCAGUACCUUCAGGAAGCUGAAGCUUCAGCACAAACACCCCAAGGAGUUGGAUCAGCAGGUAAGGAGUGGGAGAGCAGACAGGGACAGGUGGAACUCACAGAGCACACCUGAUUGUGAGUCCCUGCCCUGUUCCUGCCAUCCUUGCUUUCAGCAUCACCCCCUCUUUUGUUCCUGUAACAGAUCCUGCCCAGAAACACACGCUGACCCAGCCUGCCUGGCCUGCACUGAAGGCACAAACCUCUCAAUUUGUAUCUUCACACCUUCCCAACGAGUCCAAGCUUACUAGUUCUUCAUUCUCACCUCGGCUAUGGGCAUUGUGCAUUAGCACAGGAAAAAAAAAUUAAGGCAAAUCUCUGAUGAUUUUUUUUAAUGCAUCGUAUAAUGAUUUUUUUCUGCAUAAAACUAGAACAAUUCCUCCUUAAGUGAGGGAAGAAGGCACUGUAAUUAGAGUUGGAGAGUGACUGAAAAGUAUAUGAGAAUACAAAAUAGAAGAUAAGAUGCAAUCUUAGGGGGAGUGUGAUGGCCCUAAACAGACAGAGGCAAGAUGCCACCUUACCAUCCCUGAAGUUAUAUAAUAACAGAGGCGUGUGAUUUCCAGCCAAACACAAAGUCUAUAAAAGAAGCCUGUUGUUGCUCCUGCUCAUUCCAAUGGGUCACCAUGCCCUAAAAAGCAGUCAAUUAAUUUUGUAGCUUGCUGGCUUGGAAACUCCAAAUAUGCUGGUAACUGAUGGCUGACUCUUGGUUUUAUUUUGAGGGAGGGAAAGCAGCCCAAACAUGUGAAAACAAGGGUCAGUUUGACUCCCUACUCACUUUUUCCAGCUGCAAGAGCCAUCCAUCAUGUGUAGGUAUUACAAGGACAUAUGGUUCUCUGGCUUGUGUCAGUAAUCAUCCUGACCUGGUGCUACUAGGUAGAUGUGGUUCCAUUUCCUAUUUUUUUCUAGAGCAAAAGCAUUUUUUAAAUAGAUUUUUUCUUUAUGAGUUAGUUGCCUCUGUAUUGUACAGGCUGUUCACAGCCAGGCAUCCUAGACAUGAAGUUUCCUUAUCAGUGUUAAUCCAAUGAUAAUGAAAGGAAUACAGAAGUGAGGAGUUCCUGUUGGAUAUCUUCCUUCCCCAAGCCCUGUGGAACUAAGGACAAGAACACUGUUGGAAGAGCAAUGCCUUAAAUGAAUCCAUCUCACAAGCCUGCUGGCUUCUCUCUGUCUGACUUCCAAAAAUUGUCUUCCUUCCUGUCCCUGGGGCAUUUGGCACUGAGUUUGGUUUCCUGAGCAGGUCACUGUCACAGUGCACUUUACAGUAAAGGCUGCACAUACAAACUCUGAACAGAUUUAAACUUCUGCUCCCACAGGACGCUCCUGAGAAAUCCAGAUUAAAGGAGGAGGUGACAUCAGGUACCCAGUACAAACCCAAGCACUGGGGGAGGGCUCUGCUUGUCCAGGGAGCUCAGGGCACAACUCCCACCUCCUGCCUCAGAUCUGAGCCCUGACUGGACCCUGGCAGCAGGAGUCCAUGAACCUUCCUUAAUUCUUCUUAAUUCCUGAAUUUUUUAGCAUCAGAGACACUUUGGGGUGUGGCCAGCAGCUGCCCUUGUGCAUCACUGUUGAUGUGAUCAGCGUUCCCAGAGCCUGGCACAUGGCAGCAAUAACUUCAGCCUAAGAUAAGGAGGCAAUUCCUUGCUGUCUUUUCCAGGAAAGUCAACUCUUAGUGCUUCAUGCAGAGAGGACUGAAGUCAGUGCAGGGUUACAGGGUUCCUGGGGUGUUUUGGCAACGUGAGUACUGCUGUUGUACAGAAUAAGAAAAAAGGGCUCAUGUCAGAGGAAUGUUAACAGAAGAUAGAAAUGGCAAUAAUGGGAAACAAGUGAUAUCCAAACACAUAAUUCCUGUUCCCAGAGCCUGCUGGGAGCACUGAUUCCCUGCAGACAUGGCACAGGGAAGUCAGUUCACUCCACAGUCUUACACCUCCUUCAAGUCUGCCUACUACGAGUAGCAGCAGAGGUGACAAGCUCAUGAUCUCUGCUCUCUCAACUGUUAAAUGUAGCAAAACAGGUGCUAAAAGAAAUAAAAUCCAUCCAUCAGAGAACAAAACAAUUCUUUGGGUCAGUGUCAGCCUUAGAGAAUGGAGGAGGCUCUCAGGUACCAGAGAAAGGAGCCACAGCAUCUCCCACCUGAUUCCUUGAGGGGCCUCAUCUCCCCUUGUUAAUGGUAAUAAAUGUUGUUAAUGGUAAUAAAUGUGGAGGAAUAUGUUUGUCUCAGUUCAGCCAUGGGAUUAAA
Molecule: RNA transcript, 8244 nt
Organism: Parus major (Great Tit)
Lineage: Eukaryota; Metazoa; Chordata; Aves; Passeriformes; Paridae
Gene: DHRS3
Gene name: dehydrogenase/reductase 3
Exons: 7
Source: RefSeq, a predicted model, not a curated record